RNAcentral lists this ribosomal RNA (997 nucleotides) under Sticta globulifuliginosa. Its description in RNAcentral is "partial large subunit ribosomal RNA". It matches the Rfam family "Eukaryotic large subunit ribosomal RNA", at positions 81 to 1095 of the family's 3401-position model. The record is from RNAcentral. Lineage: Eukaryota; Fungi; Ascomycota; Lecanoromycetes; Peltigerales; Lobariaceae.
CAGUAACGGCGAGUGAAGCGGCAACAGCUCAAAUUUGAAAUCUGGCCCUCUCGGGGUCCGAGUUGUAAUUUGUAGAGGGUGCUUCGGGCGCGAUGCCGGUCUAAGUUCCUUGGAACAGGACGUCGUAGAGGGUGAGAAUCCCGUAUGCGACCGGCGAUCAAGCCCGUGCGAAGCCCCUUCGACGAGUCGAGUUGUUUGGGAAUGCAGCUCAAAAUGGGUGGUAAAUUUCAUCUAAAGCUAAAUACCGGCCAGAGACCGAUAGCGGACAAGUAGAGUGAUCGAAAGAUGAAAAGCACUUUGGAAAGAGAGUCAAACAGUACGUGAAAUUGUUGAAAGGGAAGCGCUUGCAAUCAGACCGGUCCGGAGGCGAUCAGCCGCUGCUCGUCAGCGGUGCACUCGCCUGCGAUCCGGCCAGCAUCGGUUUGGGCGGCGGGAUAAAAGUCCCGGGAAUGUAGCUUCUCCCGGGGAGUCUUAUAGCCCGGGUCGCAAUGCCGCCCGCCCGGACCGAGGACCGCGCUUCGGCUAGGAUGCUGGCGUAAUGGUUGCAAGCGACCCGUCUUGAAACACGGACCAAGGAGUCUAACAUCCAUGCGAGUGUUUGGGUGUCAAACCCAGGCGCGGAAUGAAAGUGAACGGAGGUGGGAACCCGUCAGACGGCGCACCAUCGACCGAUCCAGAUGUCUUCGGAUGGAUUUGAGUAUGAGCAUGGCUGUUGGGACCCGAAAGAUGGUGAACUAUGCCUGGAUAGGGUGAAGCCAGAGGAAACUCUGGUGGAGGCUCGCAGCGGUUCUGACGUGCAAAUCGAUCGUCAAAUCUAGGCAUAGGGGCGAAAGACCAAUCGAACCAUCUAGUAGCUGGUUCCUGUCGAAGUUUCCCUCAGGAUAGCAGUAACGUUUUCAGUUUUAUGAGGUAAAGCGAAUGAUUAGAGGCCUUGGGGCUGAAACAGCCUUAACCUAUUCUCAAACUUUAAAUAUGUAAGAAGUCCUUGUUACUUAGU